This 809-nucleotide ribosomal RNA is filed under the name uncultured bacterium. Its description in RNAcentral is "bacterial SSU rRNA". It matches the Rfam family "Bacterial small subunit ribosomal RNA", at positions 545 to 1353 of the family's 1533-position model. The record is from RNAcentral.
CCCUGUUUCCUGACUGUAAAAGGCGUGCCAGUGAAUCCGUAAUCCUGAUGUUAAAUCUUUGGUCUUAACCCAUAACGUGCAUUUGAAACUGACAGUCUUGAGUGAUGGAUAGGCAGGCGGAAUUCCUAGUGUAGCGGUGAAAUGCGUAGAUAUUAGGAGGAACACCAGUGGCGAAGGCGGCCUGCUGGACAUUAACUGACGCUGAGGCGCGAAAGCGUGGGGAGCAAACAGGAUUAGAUACCCUGGUAGUCCACGCUGUAAACGAUGAAUACUAGGUGUGGGGGGACUGACCCCCUCUGUGCCGGAGUUAACACAAUAAGUAUUCCACCUGGGGAGUACGGCCGCGAGGUUGAAACUCAAAGGAAUUGACGGGGGCCCGCACAAGCAGUGGAUUAUGUGGUUUAAUUCGAAGCAACGCGAAGAACCUUACCGGGGUUUGACAUCCAACUAACGAAGCAGAGAUGCAUUAGGUGCCCUUCGGGGAAAGUUGAGACAGGUGGUGCAUGGUUGUCGUCAGCUCGUGUCGUGAGAUGUUGGGUUAAGUCCCGCAACGAGCGCAACCCUUAUUGUUAGUUGCUACACAAGAGCACUCUAGCGAGACUGCCGUUGACAACACCGAGGAGGGUGGGGACGACGUCAAAUCAUCGUGCCCCUUGUGUGCGCGGCCUACACACGUAAUACAAUGGGCGGUCAACAGAGGGGAAGCGAAGCCGGCGAGGCAGAGCAAAUCCCCAAAAGCCGUCUCAGUUCGGAUUGCAGGCUGCAACUCGCCUGCAUGAACUCCGAAUUGCUAGUAAUCGCGGAUUAGC